Molecule: long non-coding RNA, 1042 nt
Filed under: Mytilus galloprovincialis (Mediterranean mussel)
Lineage: Eukaryota; Metazoa; Mollusca; Bivalvia; Mytilida; Mytilidae
Source: RNAcentral
GUCAAAAAUGAAAGUGGCCGCAUCCGUGUUCAUCCUAAUCCUUUAUAUAUGUUAUGUAUUAUCAUCAAAUACAACUUACAUUUCAAUAUUAUGACUGAACACGAAUGCUGUCACUUUCAUUUAAAUAAAGGCAACAGUAGUAUACCGCUGUUCAAAACUCAUAAAUCUAUGGACAAAAAACAAAAUCGGGGUAACAAACUAAAACUGAGGGAACCGCAUUAAAUAUUCAAAGUUGUACAGCUCUGAGGAUCAAAAGUUGAAAAGGUUGUGCCAUAUACGGCUAGGGUUUUCUGCUUGUGAUAAGAACAUCCUUAUUAUAUAGAACAAUGUAUGCUAUUGCAAACAGUAAAUUUAAGACGGAAAUCGUCUAAAAUUUUCUUAAAACGUUAAAAUUGUGAAGAUUUCAGUAAUUUAGCAUGACUAAAUGAUGUUAGUACCCAAUAUAUGUGCAUUGUAUUGUUAAAAACAGCCCAUAUUUGUUUAGCUGAAGCAUUCUACUUUGCAAUAAAUAGUAAAAGAUAAGAUUUUCACAUUUUGUAAAACUGCUAUAUUUUGAGGCCAAAAAGAGGUCUUUAGAUGAGGCUUGUUCUGUCCUUUUCAAUGAUUUGAAAUACAGUCGUGUGUUAUUCAGUUAACCCAAAUCAAUCAAAUGAGUUAACUUGGGAUCCUGAUGAAAUUACAAAAUAUAAACAAUAGCUGCAUAUUUUCUUAAGCAUCAAACAGAUAUUCUAAAUUCAGCACUUUAUCCACAAUGGAAUAUGUAUAAAAGCUUCCAAUCAUAUAUUGAUAAAUAAGUGAAUUCAUUAUGGGAAAGUUAAUAGUAAAUUUUUAGUGAUCUGUUAGCAUGAAAUUCUGUGUUAUUGAUGAGAAGACACUUGCGUAAACAUCCUAAGGUAUAUCAUAUCAUUAAUAAAAGACAGAAUAAAAUAUUUAUAACGGAGUCAGAUGUUAUUUUGUGGCUUACUGAUGUAACAAGAAGGGUAUGAAGAUGAAAUCUCAUCAAUAUAUAUAUGUUUGUGAUCAUUCCCUGUUUUCUAGGAGC